This is a long non-coding RNA of Carassius gibelio (silver crucian carp), 3419 nucleotides long. RefSeq lists it as uncharacterized. The transcript has 3 exons. Lineage: Eukaryota; Metazoa; Chordata; Actinopteri; Cypriniformes; Cyprinidae. The record is from RefSeq and is a predicted model, not a curated record.
UUGAAACGUCGUAAAGUUACUGUGUAUUUUGUCUUUGUUAGUAAUUAAACUUAUUAAAGAACACGCAACAGAUAAAACGACAAUAUAUUGACAUUACAUGCAAUAAAUUAGUUAUUGCCGUUUAAAUCACAGAUGCAGACUGGCACUAAAGAGAUAGGAGAGGUGAUUUUGAAUCGUGAUGCAUUAAUAGGCUAACGUUAGGUCUUUUAAGUUCCUUGGUCUGCCCCACAUUACUCCGCUCUAAUUAAUAACCAGUACAUCACUGUUAAGUAAAAUUUGACCCAGGGCUAUCCCGCUUUCCAUAUGCAAAUCCGCGUGUUGCAGCUUUGGCCAUCACCAUGCAUACAUUUAAAAGCAUCUUUUCAGUCCCGCAUCUCAAUGCAGAUAUCUCGAUUUGAUCAUCGUUUAUUCGACGCUCAGGUCUCAUUGGCUAGAUUUAUAUGCGGGUAUAACAGCAUGUCAAAGCAACAUAAAUCGUCCGUUUUAGCUGUUAAUCUACGACAAAAGACGAACUGAUGUCAUUUUGUAGCCUCUUCGUUUUGUCCGAAUUAUGGUUUCGUCUUGCGGUAAAAUCUGUAGCUACAGCCCAGCGAGCGCACGGACAGAAGAAUUUUUCCAUGGUUCCCCUGGUUUGUGAGAUGUCCGCAGCUUUGAAAAACACUGGUGUAAAGAUGGCAUGGAUUGGAGAGGCCCGCUGUGCUGCUGCUGCUGCCCACACACCGGUGCAGUUGCACUGUUUGGCCGCCGGAGGGCAGCGCGGGACCGGAACACAGUGGCAGCGGAGGGAGGGGGGAAAGGGAAGGCGGUCGAGAGAUCGCUGGCCGUGCAACACGGACUAUAGUUCAUCUCACGGGUCAGCGCAUAUUUUAAACAGCCUUUAUUACACUAACCCAGACCCCUGUUUUUUCCCCUCCCGUUUUUAAAUCCGUUUACUGAGGGUCUUUUAUAAGCAGAAAUGUGAAAAGUGCUGACUGCUAACGUUAUUCCCAUUUUGAGGAUAUCUGACCUCAUCAAAUUACAGUUGGGGUUUUGAAUAUUUCAUAUUUGAUCAAAAGCCCUUUACAAGCUGCACACAUACACAUGGGCCGACAUGGGGCAUGAUCAAUUUUUAAAACUCCAAUCAUUAUGCACAAAUUGACCCACAAUGCCCACUUUAAUUCAGGUAUUUAUUAAGAAACCUUUGCAACCAUUUCACUUGUAUUAUUUCAAAGGUGUCUGUAAUGAAAGCCUAGGCAUAUAGUGUCUAGCAUUAGCCUUUUGUGCUAUAAGUUUGGUGCUUGCACGUAAAGCGAUUCAUGCACUCUGGUUGCUAUCGAACUGCACAACACUGCAGUUCCCCUUUUAACCCCCCAUCGAAAACACUUUAAAAUGGCCAGCCUAGGACGGAGGCCAAUACUGGCCUUGGCUGUACCUUGAAUAAUGAAUAAUUCAUCUGUUUGACCUUUAGCUGAAGUUUAUUGGAGGGUGAAGGCAUCCUGCUGGCCUGCCUGCUGCCUGGCCCAGCUUGAGCUCUGUUUCCCCUCUCAGUCACGUCUCCUUCGAUAUCCUCGCCUUCUCUCGCUGUCACCAAGUGAGGUGUGAGGACACAAAAUGUCUUGACCAUCAAAGUUCCUCGCCGUGUCUUGGUCUUGUGUUUUGACUUGUUUUGAAGGUCAGGUUUGUUACGUCCACCUAUAUUAAACAUAACCUCUGACCCAGCAUGAGUUGCUCAGAAUCAUGGGAUCGUCCUCCUGUUGUGUGUCUACCCUGUGAAACAUAUUGUAUGUUAACGUAAAUCCAGUGUGCAGAAUGACAGUGAGUGAUUGCUCUGAAUUGGUUGCAUGUUUUAGAACUACGUUAGUUUUCAAUUAAUCCUCGAUUCCAGCAUCCCAACAGUCCCAUGAGCUCUUUCGCAAUGAAAUGGCUGACUGGACUGUUUUACCUGUCGCCUUAGGCUGGUGCUAAAUGUCAUUGACAUUAAAUUUCCUUUAAGUCUGAUUUAAUUGUGUCACUGGUGGUUUCUGUCCUCAACUGGCCAAAUAUGUCAAAUUCUGCUCGUUCCAUUUCCCUUAGCUUAUGCUCUAAAAUGGGUUAUGUCUGCUCAUCCUGUUUUGCAAUAUUAACAUGCCCUUCACGGCUAAGACUGAGGGUUUGAGUGGUUAUCAAAUGGGCACUUUCAAAAUCUCUAUAUAUUGAUAAUUUGUUUGAAAACAUUUGCAUUUGAAAGGUUUUAUACCAAAAGUAUCUCCAAGGACACCAUCAAGGAUAAUUUGUUUCCUUCUAAAAUAAAUGCUUACUUUGUCCUUAUUAUCCAGAAGUACAUUUUCUUAUAUUCAAAAAGUUAGAGCUAAAGAUUUAAAUAUGCAGAAAAUUGUGAGUUUAAAUAUGUUGUAAAUGUGGCAACAGUUCUCAGGAAUACUUGAUGCACUGGUCAAUUGUGGAAUGUAGAUAUUUCAGUGUUUGGUAUCUCACAUGACCAUAUCUGGACAACUGAAACAUGUUAUUUUUCAUGUCUCCAUGUCACAUAGCAAACUCGCUCUCUAUAAAGUGCUGCAGUCGGUUCUGGAUGCAAAAAUCCUAUUCAUUUUCUCCAUAGAGGAACUGAUUUUUAAUGACGUACAACAGUGAAAUUCCUAAUUGAAAACUACAUUACCCAUGAUUCUGCAACAAAUCUCCACUGAUUAGAGUAAAUCGUGCUGAAAUAACACUUUAGUGCCUGUCCAUUUCCAUGAACCAUUGUGAAUAAUGAACGAAAGUCUCCCUGCACUAAUUCUUUGCACUAAACUUAAAAUACAUUGUCAGUGUUAAUUUGAUUGUCAUUUGCAAUUGGAUCGUGUUCUUUUCUUCAUUAAAGCUGUUAAGUAUACAGUUUUGUACUUUAGACCCCCACCCCCAGUUCUCAAAUGGGUUUUUGCUUCAAAUCUGAGUUUGCAAUGUGAUUCACCAUGUAGCUGGUUAGUUGGUUCAUGGCUGAUAACUCUUUAACAAUGACUUUUUUUAAAAUCCUUACAGAGAAAAAUAUUUCCACAACAAAGGUUGCUAAAAAAAAGUGUGUCAUCACUAUAGCACCUUAUUGUGUCAUACCAAAGCAGUUCCCAUCAUCAUGAAGUUAUGAAAAUGACCUCAGUAUUAAAGGGAUCAUAUCAUGAACUGCAAUGACCAGAUCACUGCAUUCAUGCACUCAACAGUCUGUCUUGGUGUCAAUAAAAGCUAUUUUUGGACUAAAAAUGAAGUUUUGAGUUUGAAAACUUACAGGAUGUUUAUAUAGUACAAUGACCUCUUACAUAUCAAAAGAUCAAAGAAAAUUAGAUUUCUCAAUUCAUGAUCCUUUUAAUUUAACACUAAUAUUGUUACAGUGUUUGUCUUGUUACAGUGCUUAUUGUUUAGUAGGUUGUAGUAGAAUAUUUUUAGUGGAAGAUUUAUGAUUGGUUUAAUACACG